Molecule: small RNA, 872 nt
Filed under: Pongo abelii (Sumatran orangutan)
Lineage: Eukaryota; Metazoa; Chordata; Mammalia; Primates; Hominidae
Description: retained intron
Source: RNAcentral
AGAGCGGUGGUGGUGGCGGCGGAGGCUUUGGCAGCUCCGGACUGAGUGCAAGAAUCAGCAUGAUUCUUCAGAGGCUCUUCAGGUUCUCUGUCAUUCGGUCAGCCGUCUCAGUCUAUUUACGGAGGAACAUUGGUGUUACAGCAGUGGCAUUUAAUAAGGAACUUGAUCCUAUACAGAAACUCUUUGUGGACAAGAUUAGAGAAUACAAAUCUAAGCGACAGACAUCUGGAGGACCUGUUGAUGCUGGUCCAGAGUAUCAGCAAGAGCUGGAGAAGGAGCUUUUUAAGCUCAAGCAAAUGUUUGGUAAUGCAGACAUGAAUACAUUUCCCGCCUUCAAAUUUGAAGGUACGUCUUGUAAAUCACAGAAUCAUUCUUGUGGGAGAUAAGUGAAGAAUAUUUACACUUACCUGGAUGUUUAGAGAAUUGAAUGACAGUGUUGGCAUGUGAAUUUAUUAGGACCAUGACUGUGCCUGAGAAGCUGCCGGCCAAGUGUUUGCUGUUAGAAUAGGAGCAGUAUAGGUGAUCACAUAACAUAGUGAUUAAAUGGUGGGGAUCUGAAAUCGAACUGCCCGACCUUGAAUCCCGACAGUCACUUUCAGCUGUGUAAUCUUGAGUAAUCAACUGGUGCAUGUUUCCUCAUCUGACAUUUGGGGAGAAUUAUAGUAUCUUCCGCAUAUGUAGUUAAAUGACAUAAUAUAUGCAAAGUCAAUUAAAUAAUGCAUGGCUCAUAGAAAGUGUUGCAUAAAUGUUUAGCUAUAUUUCUAUGUAAAUGUUUACAAACAGUAUUUACUAAAAAAAAUCAGAAGAUUGUUGAGUUAAAUCUUGAGCAUUCUACAUAAUCCAUUUUAUUGCAAUUUGGCUAAGCUUGACCC